UUACAUCACUUUUUUGUAACCUUUCUGUUUUUUGGCUGCAAGUAUAAUGAUUUGUCUGUCCUAUUUCCGCCUAAACUGGUUUGAUUAAUUAUUAAUUAUAUCAUCAAAGAGCUGUUUUUGUUGCUAGCAGAUCACCCUUUUUCGGAUAUUAAUUACCCGAACCCUUUUUUCGGCCUUUAGAAGCAAAUUUUGAUAUCAUUCGUACGUGCCAAGAUUAGUUAAUAGGAAACACAAUCUCCCAAAAAGCACUGAUGAAAUUCUAUCUUAACUUUAUUACGCGGAAAAAAUAACAUGGAGAUUAUUGUAGUUCUUUCAGAAAUCCUAGUGAACUUUUUUCGGCCUUUGGAAGCAAAUUUUUAUAUCGUUCGUACUUGCCAAGAUUAGUUAUUAGGAAACACUGAUGAAAUCCUAGUUAACUUUAUUUUGCGAAAAAAAAAGCAUGGAGAUUAUAUAGUUCUCUAAAAAAUCCUAGUUAACUUUUCAAAUGUAUAAUCCAAUUACGUGUGGCUUCUUGAACUUUCUCUGCAUGUCCUCUGGUUUUUUUUGUGGCUUGUUUGGUUCUAUAUUUAUUGUUUAGUAAAAUAAGCUGUAUGUUCGAGUUUGUCUUCCUAGUACCUCCUAGAGUUCCGGGUUGCUGAGUUGAUGGUGUUAUGCUGGUUUCUCAAUUUUCUUAGCGGGAUUUAAGGUAAUCAUAAUACAUAUUUAUGGCUCUAUGGUCCUUUUAUAAUUGAAUAAUCUAUUUAUUAACUUUUCUAACUUGAGUAGGAUAAUUUAAACUAUAAUUUACAAUUUAUAAUUUAUGGAUGAUUAUCAGCUAGAUUUUGUUCUUUCUGCUAUAUAUAAUCAAUUUUAUAUGUUCGUCCUCUAGUUUUAUAGGAUUCUAGUGAUCCAGAUUUAUAUAAUUCAUAAAUUACAAAUUAUAAUGUACUGAUUUGAAUUUGAUUUUUUAUUUAAUAUUUUCAUAAACUUGCUGAAUAUAAAAUUUAUUUUCAAUAGUGGCAUUUUAAACCUGUUUCUUAAUUAACAUGCCAUCCUUGGUCCACUAGUUUCAAUCCCUUAGUCUUGAUGGGACUUACUUUUCUAAGUAAUCUAGUAAAAUUACAAUUUGGUAUUCUUUAACGUGCUUCUUCUGCAGAUCAAGUGACUAGUAUUCUUUAUUGUGGCCUUGAAGAUCUUUUUUGGGUUUUGAUCCAUGCUUUUCAAAUCUUGAUGCAUUAUGCAUCCAUGAGGAUUUGGGAUUUUUUCCUGACGAUUUUUCUACACAAUCAAAGUUGGCACUAUGCACGUCGGAAUGAAAAAAACUGGUUCAGUUGCCCAUGUUGGAUUUCGUACGCGUAGGAUUUGUUGAUGUUAUGAUCCAUUAGACUUAAUAUUGUUGUCAAGUGGCUGCUCGUAUUUUGUGAUUCUUAUGAGGAGACUUUAGAUUUGCUGCUCUGCUGUUUUGAG
This 1446-nucleotide long non-coding RNA is filed under the name Erythranthe guttata (spotted monkey flower). RNAcentral describes it as "long non-coding RNA (EGUT_LNC003444)". Lineage: Eukaryota; Viridiplantae; Streptophyta; Magnoliopsida; Lamiales; Phrymaceae. The record is from RNAcentral.